RNAcentral lists this long non-coding RNA (360 nucleotides) under Vigna radiata. RNAcentral's name for it is "long non-coding RNA (VRAD_LNC013819)". Lineage: Eukaryota; Viridiplantae; Streptophyta; Magnoliopsida; Fabales; Fabaceae. The record is from RNAcentral.
UCCAUGCUCGUUCUCAUAGGGGAUCAUCUUCAACUUCUGCUUCUAAUGUUGUUGAAUUAUAAACUCAGGUUAAUGAAUAUUUUAUCAAUUACUUGGUUUGUUCUUUUUAUGAUUAACUUCUUAGAUAUAAUUUUAUUUCAUCUGUUACAGGUGUCUUCAUUGACAACACAAGUCAAUGAAAUGAAUACAGUGAUAUCAUUAUUGUUGCAAAAUUAUCUGGGUCAAUUACCUUCACAGCUUGCUGCCAUAUUUCAACCAUCGGUAAUAAUUAUUAAAUUUAUUUGUAUGAUCUUUUUUUAAAUAUAUAACUGACUAACUAUUAUGUUAUAUUGCAGGUAUCUGAUCAAGGAAGUGUGCCAC